AUCCCAGUAACUUCCACGAGAGGCUAUUUCCUAAGGCCAUAUAUAGAGAAAAUUAAAAGUUUCCACGAGUGAUUUUUUUCCCAUUUGAGGUGGAGUCGGGUAAAACUAUCGCCAGCAUCACAAAACACUCCAUGGAAAUCCCAGCAACUUCCACGAGCGGCUAUUUCCUUAGGCCAUAUAUAGAGAAAAUUAAAAGUUUCCAUGAGAUUUUUUUUCCAUUUGAGGUGAAGUCGGGUAAAACUAUCGCCAGCAUCACAAAACACUCCAUGGAAAUCCCAGCAACUUCCACGAGCGGCUAUUUCCUAAGGCUAUAAAUAGAGAAAAUUAAAAGUUUCCAUGAGUGAUUUUUUUUCCAUUUGAGGAGAAGUCGGGUAAAACUAUCGCUAGCAUCACAAAACACUACAUGAAAAUUCCAGCAACUUCCACGAGCGGCUAUUUCCUAAGGCCAUAUAUAGAGAAAAUUAAAUGUUUCCAUGAGUGAUUUUUUUUCCAUUUGAGGUGAAGUCGGGUAAAACUAUCGCUAGCAUCACAAAACACUCCAUGGAAAUCCCAGCAACUUCCACGAGCGGCUAUUUCCUAAGGCCAUAUAUAGAGAAAAUUAAAAGUUUCCAUUAGUGAUUUUUUUUCCAUUUGAGGUGAAGAAGUUGGGUAAAACUAUCGCCAGCAUCACAAAACACUCCAUGGAAAUCCCAGCAACUUCCACGAGAGGCUAUUUCCUAAGGCCAUAUAUAGAGAAAAUUAAAAGUUUCCAUUAGUGAUUUUUUUUCCAUUUGAGGUGGAGAAGUCUUGUAAAACUAUCGCCAGCAUCACAAAACACUCCAUGAUAAUCCCAGCAACUUCCGCGAGAGGCUAUUUCCUAAUGCCACAGAGAAGAUCAGCGCAUUUUUGUUGAAUUCUUGUUUUGUGCCCAUGAGCUGUCUUCCUUACUGUGUACGUAGCUAUAAAAAAAAAAAAUCAUGGGCGGUGUUUUUCCUAUUCAUGGCACAGAAGUCAUGCAACACUAUCCCCAGCAUCACAAAACGUCCAUGAAGAUCCCAGCAACUUCCACGAGAGGCUUUUCAAACAGUGCUUCAAACAGGGACUGAGGCAUUAAGACGUUGAAGAAUGCUAGCUAUUGACUCCAAACUCCGUCCUUUCACCCAGCCAACCAAUCAGCUCCCUCGGCUACGGAAGAGGGGCGUCGAGGCUCCUUUCAAACAGGCGAACUGAGACCCUGAGACAUUUAACCCGAUAGCAGUGACGGGCCAAAUUUGUAGCUUUACCAUGUAGCAGUGACAGGCCAAAUUUGUGGCUUUACCGUGUAGCAGUGACGGGCCAAAUUUGUGGCUUUACCGUGUAGCAGUGACAGGCCAAAUUUGUGGCUUUACCGUGUAGCAGUGACGGGCCAAAUUUGUGGCUUUACCGUGUAGCAGUGAUGGGCCAAAUUUGUGGCUUUACCAUGUAGCAGUGACAGGCCAAGUUUGUGACUUUACCGUGUAGCAGUGACUGGCCAAAUUUGUGGCUUUACCGUGUAGCAGUGACGGGCCAAAUUUGUGACUUUACCGUGUAGCAGCAACAGGCCAAAUUUGUGGCUUUACCGUGUAGCAGUGACGGGCCAAAUUUGUGCCAUAAUAUAAACCCCCCAAAAUAGAUGAUACAUAAUCUGAUCACAAAUGUUUUUAUAUAUAUAUGAAAUGGUUUGUGUGAGGGGCGAUUUUUUCUCAUUUUUCUCGCUUGGGCGGACCAUUAAGAAACAUGAUCCCCGCUGCUACCGGUUAAGAAUGCUAGCUAUCGACUCCUAUCUUCGUCCUUUCACCCAACCAACCAAUCAGUUCCCUCGGCUAUGGAAGAGGGGCGGCGGGGCUUCUUUCAAAUAGGCAACUCCAAACUCCAUCCUUUCACUCAACCAAUUAGUUCCCUUGGCUAUGGAUGAGGGGCGGCGGGGCUUCUGGGUUAGCUUAGAGUACGGUGACUAUGGUUGUAAAGCUUCCGACUGCCCGCCACCAUGCUGCUGUUCUCCAUGCAAAGGCAGGCGCAGAGUAUCCCUUAUGGAGUUUGCACGCUAUCCCUUUGUACACUGUUCUCGUGUCUUGUUGAAAUGUUGGAAAGCCGUCACACACACACACAGAAAAAAGAAAAAUGUCAAAGCUAAGUGAGUAGUGUGUUGUGUUGCGUGAGUGAGAGUGUUUGCGUAUAUGUGUGUGUGUGUGUGUGUGUGUGUGUGUGUGUGUGUGUGUGUGUGUGUGUGUGAGUGAGUGAGUGAGUGAGUGAGUGAGUGAGUGAGUGUGUGUGUGUGUGUUUUAAGAGUGUAUAUGUGUGUGUUUUAAGUGUGUGUGUGUUUUAAGUGUGUGUGUGUUUUAAGAGUGUGUGUGUGUGUGUGUGCUUUAAGAGUGUGUAUGUGUGUGUGUGUGUGUGUGUGUGUGUGUGUGUGUGUGUGUGUGUGUGUGUUUAAAAAAUAUAGCUAAAUCAAACCACUUCAUAAACAACAAAAACAUGACAAAACCUAUCUUCUUAUCUACCUGUAUCUAUAAAAAAAAAAAUGACACCUAAUUCUAUCCACUAAUACCAUAAGCUUACUAACACUAUAUGGCGGCCUACAAGUGCCUGCCUACCUUACGCAACACAAGCAAAGUUCACUCAACAUUACAAGCACAAGCAACCUUAGAAAUACUUGACCACAUACAAACUCCGUCCCCGCACCAACACAGUGUCUGAGGGGCCAGAAAUGGUUACACACGCAAGCUUCUACGAGGGAUACAUGGCACAUCUACAAGUGGUGUGACUGCACGAUACUAAUAUAAUAAAAAUAAUAAUAAUGAUGACUGAAAAGAGGAAAUAAAACACUGAUGGAGAGGCAGUCCCCCCCCCCUUAGUGAACAGACAUGGAUGUGAAAAAUAGAAGUGAUAGUGGAGAUGAUAAUAAUAAUACAGUAAAGCCUCGAUAUAACAGACUAAUUGGUGGGGAGCUUAAUGCCAAAAGUCCAUUAUAAGCGAUACACACAAAAAAAGUAAAAUAAUACCGACGAACCUAAUAAACGUAGGUAUAUAUAUAUUUUUUUUAUUGUGCAUGUUGUCUGCAUGUUGUCUAUAUAUCCGCACAGCACACUUGGUGAUGGACUGCGGGGCACUGAGCCGCCAGGUUGGCAGUGUGGCCAUAUUGUUACAGUUAUAGGUAAAAUUGCGUCAAUCUCACGCCGGUAGACGAAACUUAUUUUUUUUGAUAGUUUUUGGGGUGUUAAGAAAUAAUGUGAAAACUGUUUCUGUCACAAAUCAUUUGACUUUUCAUUGGCUGUUGUACACCUGCAUUGCAAAAUAACUCUCAGAGGGACAUGUUUAACUUGCUUACAGUUUCUACAUUUCACUCACCACUCAGAGAUAACAAGUGGACAAACUAGCACAAAACCAGGCAAAUUAAUGUUUUCCUGCCGUGUAUCCCUCCAGUGCGCAUUCGUAGUGGACAGCAGAGCGAUGUAUUUCUGCGAGGAGGUAUUUCUAUUAUUAUUAUUUUUUUUUUAUUUUUUUAUAGUAACACCGGGCGACAAAUUGGACCACACAUGCCACCGCCAUGCAUCCGUCCCGCCCUGCAUAUUUCCGUGCCCCACUCCGAGUGCAGAAUAAACUGAAACUAACCAAACAUAACUUAACAUAGCCUACCUAACCUAGAUGAUACAUAAUCAUCAUAAGGGGGCUUAGUCCCCUCGACCCCUAUAAGCUGUGUCAGUACCAACACUAACAAACUCUUGGCCAUUUUCCAUUCAUUCAUGUCCUGGAUUAAUGCAUAGGCUUUCUUGUGGUAUAAAUACAUUCUUCAUUUAACCCGGUAGCAGCGACGGGCCAAAUUUGUGGCUUUACCGUGUAGCAGCGAUGGGCCAAAUUUGUGGCUUUACCGUGUAGCAGCGAUGGGCCAAAUUUGUGGCUUUACCGUGUAGCAGUGAUGGGCCAAAUUUGUGGCUUUACCGUGUAGCAGUGAUGGGCCAAAUUUGUGGCUUUACCGUGUAGCAGCGAUGGGCCAAAUUUGUGGCUUUACCGUGUAGCAGUGAUGGGCCAAAUUUGUGGCUUUACCGUGUAGCAGUGAUGUGCAAAAUUUGUGGCUUUACCGUGUAGCUGUGAUGGGCCAAAUUUGUGGCUUUACCGUGUAGCAGUGACGGGCCAAAUUUGUGGCUUUACCGUGUAGCAGCGAUGGGCCAAAUUUGUGGCUUUACCGUGUAGCAGUGAUGGGCCAAAUUUGUGGCUUUACCGUGUAGCAGCGACGGGCCAAAUUUGUGGCUUCACCGUGUAGCAGCGACAGGCCAAAUUUGUGGCUUUACCAUGUAGCAGCGACGGGCCAAAUUUGUGGCUUUACCAUGUAGCAGCGACGGGCCAAAUUUGUGGCUUCACCGUGUAGCAGCGACGGGCCAAAUUUGUGGCUUUACCGUGUAGCAGCAAUGGGCCAAAUUUGUGCCAUGAUUUUAACCCCCCAAAAUAGAUGACACAUAAACUAAUCACAAAUACUUUGAUAUAUAUUAUGAAGUAGUUUGUGAGUGAUGAUUUUUUCUCAUUUUUCUCGCUUAGAGGGAUCAUUAAGAAACAUGAUCCCCGCUGCUACCGAGUUAAAUGGAAACCACGAGGAGGAAAAUGUUUCAUCAGGAGGACUGAAAAAGACUACGGUAACCCAAGGAUGGGGCAGCAGAUAAAGGCAGGAGGGCGAGGUGGCCAGCAGACACUGUUAUAGUUACCGGGAACGAGUGGUUCAAAAACUAUUCUCGGUCGGUCCCCGUGGAUUUCUGACCGUCUGACCUUGUCCAUUAGGGUGCAGCCACACUGCAUGCGGUUUGCUGGGAGGGUAGAGGGUAGUGGGACGCCUAGCAGGUCAGAGGCAAAAACAAACACGUUAUCUAAUACGAGUGGCUAUACAGAACGCGGGUAGCGGGUUCCCUCCAAGCUUACUCGCUACCCGCGUCCCGUAUGGCCACUCCUAUUAGAUAACAUGUGUUUGUUCUUGCCUCUGACCUGAAAGGCGUCCUGCUACCCUCUACCUUUCCAGCAAACCGCGUCCAGUGUGGCCGCACCCUAACAUCUGAAACCUGUUAUAGGCGUGUCCGUUAUAUCGAGGGUUUACUGCAAUAGUAAUAACUGAGAUUCAUGUAAGGGCCUCAAUGGAAGACAAAGCCCUGAUGUAGCCCCAGAGUUCCCCAUUGAUGAACAAACAUGGCAAAUACAGGUGAGAGUAGAGGAAGGAGAAUUAUAAAUGGAUAAAAGUGGGACACAGAAAAUACCCAAUGAGUUAACAAGUGGGUGUUGACUUCUGCUUUAAACUUGUCAAUGCCAACAAGAGAAACAACCUCACAUGGAAGUACACCCUAUAAAGUCAUAGAUAUAUUCCUUGUACAGUUAGAAUACAGUGAUGAGUAGCUUGCCCAGGUAUAUGACUUCUGCUUUAAACUUAUCCAGUACAGCCUGUAAAGUCAUAGAUGUAUUCCUUGUACAGUUAGAAUACAGUGUUGAGUAGCUUGCCCAGGUAUAUAAAGAAGUCUAUCCAGUUGGGCAGACACUUUUGGCUGCCGGAUAUAUACAUGUUCUUCAAGCAGUCAUAAUCCCUAAAGUAUACAUGUUAGACACACACAUGAGGUUUAGUUACAUGCACAUACAUUUAACUCAACUAUGAAUGCACCCUGUGUCUGUGUGAGUCAGUGGAGCACCAGAAUUACCACCUGAAAGGAAGGAAUUUUUCUUCUUCGAGAGCCAGAUCGUUGGGUGUCACUGGCUGUCACACUCCCAUUACUCCGUGUCUCUGCCAGGGUGACCGCUGCGCCAUCCUCCCACCCCUCACCCUGCACCCCUCCACACGUUGCUGUUGUUCUAGUGUGGUGUGCGUGUGUGUUAUGUGGUAUAUAUGUAUUUUUUUACAGCAGAGGAAACAGCUCACAGGCAAAAAACAGAAAAAAAAAGAAAGAAAAGGAAACUAAUAAAAAAAGCCCACUACUCGCUGCUCCUUUAAAAGAGUUCAGAGGAGUGGCCGAAAGACAGGUCAAUUUCAGGAGGAAAGGCGUCCUGAUUUAUGUACUGUAUCACAACACGGUGCUGGGCCAGUAGUCUGUGAUGGACAUGUACUGCAAGUUAGGAAGCAACCAAAAAAACAUCUCACUAAAAUUGGUGGCCAGGGUAUUUUUCAUUAAUUUUCAUUUGUCAACCUACAUCACUUCAAAAUGGCGUGUUUAUUUGAUGCCAGCAAGUACUAUGGUGGUCCUGAAAAAUUGACAAUCUCCAUUCAUGGCAGCAGAGGCAUUGAAGUCCUUCAUCCAUUUAUAGGACUGGCUCAAGUCUCCUCACACCCAUCACUUUUCUGGAGAAUGUAAAGUUAUAUGAAGUCCACCCUUAUACAGCAAGUUUCCCAAUCAGUGAAUCAUUUUUGUCAUUGGGCGUAUCUUAUUAUCUCCAGCAAUUUUUUCCCCUCCCAGUUGCUGUCCAUAUACAAGGGCCUUGUUUGACAUCAUAUUAUGGAGUAUGCAUCUCACAUGUGGGGCCGGGGGCUCCACACACCUCUCCUUUUUGGACAAAGUAGAGCCUAAGGCUCUUUGUUUCAUCAACUCCUCUCCUCUUACUGACAGUCUCCUACCUUUACAUUCCAUUGCCAUGUUGCCUCUCUUUCUACCUUCUACUGAUAUUUUUAUGCUGACUGCUCCUCAGAACUUGCUCACUGCAAGCCUAACCUCCCCCCUCCCAAAGCCCCACUACACAUGACUUUCUACUCUAAAGGCCCGUCCACACAAUCGAGCAGUCCCCUCAAGCACAGGUGAGCGGUCUGCCCGUUGACGGGCUUACCGCUUGUGCCAGCUGAAAAACUCGCUUGUGCCCGCUGAAAACCUAGUAGAUUUUCAGUGGGCACAAGUGGUAAGCCUGUCAACGGGCAGACCGCUCGCCUGUGCUCGAGGGCACUGCUCGAUAGUGUGGACGGACCUUAACUCAUCACUACUGUGUCCCAUAUGAAAGAGUUAAUCAGCAUGUUCACUCUUUCAUCCCUUUCACUGAUACACUCUGCAACAGUUUUUCUUUGUCUAUAUUUCCACCUUCCUACAACUUGAACUCCUUCAAGAUGGAAGCAUCACAGCACUUAUCAAAUUGUUUCUGAAUAAUCAUUUGGAAAUCUCAAUCAAUUCUUCUUUGGUGAGCAUUAGUUUUGUGGAUCUUAUUUCCCCAUUGUCUGCCCUUGACUGGUUCCUCUGAUGUAAAAAAAACAACCCUUUGCAUAGAUCCUAACCUCUUGAUGUCCAUUGUAUAGCAAGGAGACCAGGACUGAACCACAUACC
This is a long non-coding RNA of Eriocheir sinensis (Chinese mitten crab), 7265 nucleotides long. RefSeq lists it as uncharacterized. Lineage: Eukaryota; Metazoa; Arthropoda; Malacostraca; Decapoda; Varunidae. The record is from RefSeq and is a predicted model, not a curated record. The transcript has 2 exons.